RNAcentral lists this ribosomal RNA (459 nucleotides) under uncultured bacterium. Its description in RNAcentral is "partial 16S ribosomal RNA". It matches the Rfam family "Bacterial small subunit ribosomal RNA", at positions 338 to 795 of the family's 1533-position model. The record is from RNAcentral.
CCUACGGGUGGCAGCAGUGAGGAAUAAUGGUCAAUGGUCGGGAGACUGAACCAGCCAAGCCGCGUGAGGGAUGAAGGUACAGAGUAUCGUAAACCUCUUUUGUCAGGGAACAAAGGCGGGGACGUGUCCCCGGAUGAGUGUACCUGAAGAAAAAGCAUCGGCUAACUCCGUGCCAGCAGCCGCGGUAAUACGGAGGAUGCGCGCGUUAUCCGGAGUUAUUGGGGUUAAAGGGUGCGCAGGCGGUCUGUUAAGUCAGCGGACAAAGCCCGGGGCACAAACCCGGCCCGCCGUUGAAACUGGCAGUCGCGAGUUGGAGAGAAGUAUGCGGAAUGCGCGGUGUAGCGGUGAAAUGCAUAGAUAUCGCGCAGAACUCCGAUUGCGAAGGCAGCAUGCCGGCUCCACACUGACGCUGAGGCACGAAAGCGUGGGUAUCGAACAGGAUUAGAUACCCCAGUAGUC